This 1510-nucleotide ribosomal RNA is filed under the name uncultured korarchaeote. RNAcentral describes it as "partial 16S ribosomal RNA". It matches the Rfam family "Archaeal small subunit ribosomal RNA". The record is from RNAcentral. Lineage: Archaea; Thermoproteati; Thermoproteota.
UUCCGGUUGAUUCUGCCGGAGGGAACCCCUAUCGGGCUCCGCCUGAGCCAUGCAAGUCUACCAGGGGAGGGGUCCCCUGGUGGCGGACGGCUCAGUAAUACGCCGUCAACCUACCCUCGGGACCCUGAUAACCUCGGGAAACUGAGGAUAAUCAGGGAUAGGCGCACCAAGCUGGAAGGCUGGUGUGCCGAAAGUAGCCGAGGCCAUCCCCUUGGUCACGCCCGAGGAUGGGACGGCGGCCGAUCAGGUAGUUGGUGGGGUAACGGCCCACCAAGCCUACGACCGGUACGGGCUGUGGGAGCAGGAGCCCGGAGUCGGCCACUGAGACAAGGGGCCGGGCCCUACGGGGCGCAGCAGGCGGGGACAUUCCGCAAUGCGCGAAAGCGCGACGGAGGGAGCCCGAGUGCCACCCGUUAAGGGUGGCUGUCGCCGGGUGUAAAAGACCCGGUGUAGAAAGGGGAGGGUAAGGCUGGUGCCAGCCGCCGCGGUAAAACCAGCUCCCCGAGGGGUUCCCACGCUUAUUGGGCCUAAAGCGUCCGUAGCCCGCCCAGUAAGUCCGCAGUUAAAUCCAGCGGAAAACCGCUGGACUGCUGCGGAUACUGCUGGGCUAGGGGGUGGAAGGAGCCGGAGGAAUUCCCGGGGGAGGGGUAAAAUCCGUAGAUCCCGGGAGGACCACCAGUGGCGAAGGCGUCCGGCUAGGACACGCCCGACGGUGAGGGACGAAAGCUGGGGGAUCGAACCGGAUUAGAUACCCGGGUAGUCCCAGCCGUAAACGAUGCAGGUUAGAUGCCGGGUGAACCUACGUGUUCAUCCGGUGUCGAAGCGAAGGCAUUAAACCUGCCGCCUGAGGAGUACGGCCGCAAGGCUGAAACUUAAAGAAAUUGACGGGGGGGCACCACAAGGGGUGAAUGCUUGCGGUUCAAUUGGAUUCAACGCCGGGAACCUUACCGGGGGCGACAGCAGGAUGAAGGUCAGGCUGAAGACCUUACCAGACGAGCUGAGGGGUGGUGCAUGGCCGUCGCCAGCUCGUGUCGUGAGAUGUCCUGUUAAGUCAGGCAACGAGCGAGAUCCCCGCCCCUAGUUGCCAGCAGCUCCCGAAAGGGAGGCUGGGCAUAACUAGGGGGACUGCCGGCGAAAAGCCGGAGGAAGGUGGGGGCGACGGCAGGUCAGUAUGCCCCUAAUCCCCCGGGCCACACGCGAGCUGCAAUGGCGGGGACAACGGGAUGCGACCCCGAGAGGGGAAGCAAAUCCCUUAAACCCCGUCGUAGUCGGGAUCGAGGGCUGCAACUCGCCCUCGUGAACCUGGAAUCCCUAGUAACCGCGCGUCGCCAUCGCGCGGUGAAUACGUCCCUGCCCCUUGUACACACCGCCCGUCAACCCACCCGAGCGGGGCUAGGGCGAGGUUCAGUCGGGGCCGCAAGGCCCGCAGGCUGGGUCGAGCUUUAGCCCUGCAAGGGCGGGUAAGUCGUAACAAGGUAGCCGUAGGGGAACCUGCGGCUGGAUCACCUCC